RNAcentral lists this non-coding RNA (29 nucleotides) under Homo sapiens (human). The record is from RNAcentral. Lineage: Eukaryota; Metazoa; Chordata; Mammalia; Primates; Hominidae.
UGGAUUAAGGGCGGUACAAGAUGUGCUUU